RNAcentral lists this long non-coding RNA (345 nucleotides) under Mytilus galloprovincialis (Mediterranean mussel). The record is from RNAcentral. Lineage: Eukaryota; Metazoa; Mollusca; Bivalvia; Mytilida; Mytilidae.
GCCACGAAAUGACCAAUGUAAAACAAUUCAUUUAUGAUCACACUUGUGCUGUUUCAUCUGAGUGCAGAAAAGCUUUACAUUGAGUAUUUACAAUAAGAAUAUUUACAUUGUGUUUUGCGCAGAUUUAAAGAUGAUAAGUGAAUUAUGACUAUGUUGUGUUUUUGGUCAUUGCUGGAUGGAAAUUUGACUACAGUUUCUAUUUAAAAAAUGUGUUGAUCUUGAAUUGUGGCAAUGUUGUCAGGAAGAAGAUUCCAUUCGUGGUUAGAAACUGUUUUGAUACUCUAUACAGUGUUGCAUUGUGGCUGUAUUAUGUACACGGAGUUCGUGUAGUGUUCAACAUGCUUU